UACGUAGGCAGCAAGCGUUGUUCGGAGUUACUGGGCGUAAAGGGUGCGUAGGCGGCUCUAUAAGUAUGGUGUGAAAUCUCCCGGCUUAACUGGGAGGGUGCGCUAUAGACUGUGGGGCUAGAGUGUGGGAGAGGAAAGUGGAAUUCCUGGUGUAGCGGUGAGAUGCGUAGAUAUCAGGAGGAACACCGGUGGUGUAAACGGCUUUCUGGACCAUAACUGACGCUGAGGCACGAAAGCGUGGGUAGCAAACAGG
RNAcentral lists this ribosomal RNA (253 nucleotides) under uncultured bacterium. RNAcentral's name for it is "partial 16S ribosomal RNA". It matches the Rfam family "Bacterial small subunit ribosomal RNA", at positions 524 to 776 of the family's 1533-position model. The record is from RNAcentral.